GAUGAACGCUGGCGGCGUGCCUAAUACAUGCAAGUCGAGCGAACGGACGAGAAUCUUGCUUCUCUGAUGUUAGCGGCGUACGGGUGAGUAGCACGUGCAUCACCUACCUAUAAGACUGGUAUCACUUCGGGAAACCGGUGCUAAUACCGGAUGAUAUUUUGAACCGCAUGGUUCAAAAGUGAAAGACGUUCUUGCUGUCCCUUAUAGAUGGAUCCGCGCUGCAGUAGCUAGUUGGUGAGGUAACGGCUUACCAAGGCAACGAUGCAUAGCCGACCUGAGAGGGUGAUCGGCCACACUGGAACUGAGACACGGUCCAGAGUCCUACGGGAGGAAGCAGUAGGGAAUCUUACGCAAUGGGCGAAAGCCUGACGGAGCAACGCGGCGGGAGUGAUGAAGGUCUUCGGAUCGUAAAACUCUGUUAUUAGGGAAGAACAUAUGUGUAAGUAACUGUGAACAUCUUGACGGUACCUAAUCAGAAAGCCACGGCUAACUACGUG
This 497-nucleotide ribosomal RNA is filed under the name uncultured bacterium. Its description in RNAcentral is "partial 16S ribosomal RNA". It matches the Rfam family "Bacterial small subunit ribosomal RNA", at positions 28 to 507 of the family's 1533-position model. The record is from RNAcentral.